This is a long non-coding RNA of Tigriopus californicus, 1277 nucleotides long. RefSeq lists it as uncharacterized. The record is from RefSeq and is a predicted model, not a curated record. The transcript has 3 exons. Lineage: Eukaryota; Metazoa; Arthropoda; Copepoda; Harpacticoida; Harpacticidae.
UUAAUACGAAUCAUUUCAUUGAGUUAAAAAUUUGACUGCCUGUUAAUGGGACGGUUUAAGAUUAUUACAGAUGCGAAUGCUCAUGUUGAAAACAUGUAUACCUAAGCACAAUGUGCGCCUGCAUAAUGAUUUUUGAAAAUCUUGGAAGAAAAGCUAAAUUGUCUUCUAGUGAAAUAUCUCCCGUUGUUGGUGAAGUGAUGCUAUGUAAAAAGAGUUCAAAGACGAGGAACAUUCCACUCCGUCAUUGAACAACGUGACAUGAACAAUUUAGAUCGUCACGCUCUCAACCUCAAAAUUUAUUCAGAGACUGAAAUCAAAAGUAAGAAUACUGAGCGAAUGGGCGACGAUGCUUUUACAACAAGAUAUCAAAUGAUUUCUAAUAGGUGCAUGCAAUGCAAACACUUGAACCUUGGAUAAUUGAUAAGGCGUCGUACAUAAAUUCACUCCACCUACUUGGCCAAUAAGAAUAUCAAGCCGCUCUGCAAUCCCAAUUCUCCUUUGGGAAUACAGUUUGUCCUACUUUUUCCUAUUCCCGUUCCAACAGGGUGAAUCAAUCUUUCUUCUGUCCCAUUCCCUCCAAGGAAAGAAAGGCCGUCAUAAUGCAGAAGACAGAUUUCUUAUUGAGCCACCCCAAAGUAGAUUUCCAACCCCUUACUUUCGAAGAGGGGAGCAUGACCUGACCUACCUGGCUGGACCAAAAAAGCUAGAUCGAACUAUAGCUGUUUGUUCAGAUGUUCCAAAUUGGUCUAAACCAAAAGUCAUUGUUUAUUCAGGAUUGCCUUGACCGGAAACAUGGGAGGCCAUCAAUCGUCCUUGCGUUCAAAUCAAUCAAGAGGUAGUCCAAAAUCGAAUUGGUUUAAAGCCCUUUGGUCGGGAGGAUCACGGCGAAGAUCCAAUCCAACGCCAAGGGAGACCUCUUCACCAAGCUCAAUUCUAGAGGAGGAAUACUUGUUUAGACCGAGGAUGAAUACCUGGAUCAAGUGACCUAGGGAAAGAACACUGAGAGAAGAAAAAAUAAAUAAAUCCUGAACUGUCAGUUCGGAAGUCGAGCAAGAUCUUCUUCAUUUCUGGACCAAUUCCAGAAGUGUUGGGGAGCAUUUAGAACAUUUUGAAUUGGAGAAGUGAACGUUUAUCAUGUUUUUUUUGUACUUCAUAAUGGAAUCUCCACACAUCUGCGAAGUCUGCAUUCAAAUGAGAUGUUUUGCGGAAACAAAAAAGACAAUAAACAGUACCAAACUUCCUCAUUUUGUCUCGAAUUCAAAUCAAAGUAUACUCUG